GCAGGUUUUAUUUGACCUUGACCUCCUUGUCACGGUUCAUUGCUCAGUGUUACCUUUUUGCGUUUUGGUAUGUUUUUUUAAACUACAAGCAAUAGGUAAACUAUAUUUGUUGUAUGGAAGAAUUGUUAGCUGUGCAUGUCUGUCUGGCAUCAUUCAUCUUACCUUAUCCUCAUUUUCGUAUGGUUCAUUUCUCAAUGUUUAGUUUUCUUGAUGAAUGUUAAGUUUAUGUGACAGUUGUAAUCAUGGUAAUAAAACUUUAUAUUUAGGACUAUCAACAUAAUAUCAAUGAUUAGUAAAGAAGGCGAGAC
Molecule: long non-coding RNA, 308 nt
Filed under: Mytilus galloprovincialis (Mediterranean mussel)
Lineage: Eukaryota; Metazoa; Mollusca; Bivalvia; Mytilida; Mytilidae
Source: RNAcentral